GAUGAACGCUGGCGGCGUGCCUAACACAUGCAAGUCGAGCGGCAGCGAGGGGUGCUUGCACCCUGUCGGCGAGCGGCGGACGGCUGAGUAACGCGUGGGAACGUGCCCCAAAGUGAGGAAUAACUGCCCGAAAGGGUAGCUAAUACCGCAUAAUAUCUUCGGAUCAAAGGAUUUAUCCGCUUUGGGAGCGGCUCGCGUCGGUUUAGGUGGUUGGUGAGGUAAUGGCUCACCAAGCCGACGAUCCGUAGCUGGUCUGAGAGGAUGACAAGCCAGACUGGAACUGAGACCCAGUCCAGACUCCUACGGGAGGCAGGAGAGAGGAAUCUUCCACAAUGGGCGAAAGCCUGAUGGAGCAACGCCGCGUGCAGGACGAAGGCCUUCGGGUUGUAAACUGCUUUUAUAAGUGAGGAAUAUGACGGUAACUUAUGAAUAAGGAUCGGCUAACUACGUG
RNAcentral lists this ribosomal RNA (451 nucleotides) under uncultured bacterium. RNAcentral's name for it is "partial 16S ribosomal RNA". It matches the Rfam family "Bacterial small subunit ribosomal RNA", at positions 28 to 507 of the family's 1533-position model. The record is from RNAcentral.